AGAACAAUGUAGGUAAGGGAAGUCAGCAAAAUAGAUCCGUAACUUCGGGAAAAGGAUUGGCUCUAAGGGUUUACUUGUAUUUUUCAGGUAGGGCCAAAAAAAAAAAUAUGUGGGUUUCCGGUUUCUUCUUAUAAAAACUUAGGUAGGGUAGGUCGGCUUUAACUUUUUUUUUUAAACUUUUUUUUUAAUUUUCCGAAUAAGCGGACGCCAUUUUGUUUAGUCAGUGCUUCCACAUCCAAAGAUAAAUUUCCUUAAUAUUGCCUCAAAUUUCAAUUU
Molecule: non-coding RNA, 276 nt
Organism: Paramuricea clavata
Lineage: Eukaryota; Metazoa; Cnidaria; Anthozoa; Malacalcyonacea; Plexauridae
Source: the annotation of a GenBank genome assembly